UACAGAGGGUGCGAGCGUUAAUCGGAAUUAUUGGGCGUAAAGGGUGUGUAGGUGGUUUGACAAGUUAGGCGUGAAAUUCCAGGGCUUAACCUUGGGGCUGCGUUUGAUACUGUUGAGCUAGAGUAUGGGAGAGGCAAGUGGAAUUUCCGGUGUAGCGGUGAAAUGCGUAGAUAUCGGAAGGAACAUCAGUGGCGAAGGCGGCUUGCUGGAUUAAUACUGACACUGAGGCACGAAAGCAUGGGGAGCAAACAGG
Molecule: ribosomal RNA, 253 nt
Filed under: uncultured bacterium
Lineage: Bacteria
Description: partial 16S ribosomal RNA
Rfam family: Bacterial small subunit ribosomal RNA
Source: RNAcentral